This 3053-nucleotide ribosomal RNA is filed under the name Escherichia coli. RNAcentral describes it as "23S ribosomal RNA". It matches the Rfam family "Bacterial large subunit ribosomal RNA". The record is from RNAcentral. Lineage: Bacteria; Pseudomonadati; Pseudomonadota; Gammaproteobacteria; Enterobacterales; Enterobacteriaceae.
GGGUUGUGAGGUUAAGCGACUAAGCGUACACGGUGGAUGCCCUGGCAGUCAGAGGCGAUGAAGGACGUGCUAAUCUGCGAUAAGCGUCGGUAAGGUGAUAUGAACCGUUAUAACCGGCGAUUUCCGAAUGGGGAAACCCAGUGUGAUUCGUCACACUAUCAUUAACUGAAUCCAUAGGUUAAUGAGGCGAACCGGGGGAACUGAAACAUCUAAGUACCCCGAGGAAAAGAAAUCAACCGAGAUUCCCCCAGUAGCGGCGAGCGAACGGGGAGCAGCCCAGAGCCUGAAUCAGUGUGUGUGUUAGUGGAAGCGUCUGGAAAGGCGCGCGAUACAGGGUGACAGCCCCGUACACAAAAAUGCACAUACUGUGAGCUCGAUGAGUAGGGCGGGACACGUGGUAUCCUGUCUGAAUAUGGGGGGACCAUCCUCCAAGGCUAAAUACUCCUGACUGACCGAUAGUGAACCAGUACCGUGAGGGAAAGGCGAAAAGAACCCCGGCGAGGGGAGUGAAAAAGAACCUGAAACCGUGUACGUACAAGCAGUGGGAGCACGCUUAGGCGUGUGACUGCGUACCUUUUGUAUAAUGGGUCAGCGACUUAUAUUCUGUAGCAAGGUUAACCGAAUAGGGGAGCCGAAGGGAAACCGAGUCUUAACUGGGCGUUAAGUUGCAGGGUAUAGACCCGAAACCCGGUGAUCUAGCCAUGGGCAGGUUGAAGGUUGGGUAACACUAACUGGAGGACCGAACCGACUAAUGUUGAAAAAUUAGCGGAUGACUUGUGGCUGGGGGUGAAAGGCCAAUCAAACCGGGAGAUAGCUGGUUCUCCCCGAAAGCUAUUUAGGUAGCGCCUCGUGAAUUCAUCUCCGGGGGUAGAGCACUGUUUCGGCAAGGGGGUCAUCCCGACUUACCAACCCGAUGCAAACUGCGAAUACCGGAGAAUGUUAUCACGGGAGACACACGGCGGGUGCUAACGUCCGUCGUGAAGAGGGAAACAACCCAGACCGCCAGCUAAGGUCCCAAAGUCAUGGUUAAGUGGGAAACGAUGUGGGAAGGCCCAGACAGCCAGGAUGUUGGCUUAGAAGCAGCCAUCAUUUAAAGAAAGCGUAAUAGCUCACUGGUCGAGUCGGCCUGCGCGGAAGAUGUAACGGGGCUAAACCAUGCACCGAAGCUGCGGCAGCGACGCUUAUGCGUUGUUGGGUAGGGGAGCGUUCUGUAAGCCUGUGAAGGUGUACUGUGAGGUACGCUGGAGGUAUCAGAAGUGCGAAUGCUGACAUAAGUAACGAUAAAGCGGGUGAAAAGCCCGCUCGCCGGAAGACCAAGGGUUCCUGUCCAACGUUAAUCGGGGCAGGGUGAGUCGACCCCUAAGGCGAGGCCGAAAGGCGUAGUCGAUGGGAAACAGGUUAAUAUUCCUGUACUUGGUGUUACUGCGAAGGGGGGACGGAGAAGGCUAUGUUGGCCGGGCGACGGUUGUCCCGGUUUAAGCGUGUAGGCUGGUUUUCCAGGCAAAUCCGGAAAAUCAAGGCUGAGGCGUGAUGACGAGGCACUACGGUGCUGAAGCAACAAAUGCCCUGCUUCCAGGAAAAGCCUCUAAGCAUCAGGUAACAUCAAAUCGUACCCCAAACCGACACAGGUGGUCAGGUAGAGAAUACCAAGGCGCUUGAGAGAACUCGGGUGAAGGAACUAGGCAAAAUGGUGCCGUAACUUCGGGAGAAGGCACGCUGAUAUGUAGGUGAAGUCCCUCGCGGAUGGAGCUGAAAUCAGUCGAAGAUACCAGCUGGCUGCAACUGUUUAUUAAAAACACAGCACUGUGCAAACACGAAAGUGGACGUAUACGGUGUGACGCCUGCCCGGUGCCGGAAGGUUAAUUGAUGGGGUNNNNNNNNNNNNNNNNNNNNNNNNNNNNNNNNNNNNNNNNNNNNNNNNNNNNNNNNNNNNNNNNNNNNNNNNNNNNNNNNNNNNNNNNNNNNNNNNNNNNNNNNNNNNNNNNNNNNNNNNNNNNNNNNNAGCGCAAGCGAAGCUCUUGAUCGAAGCCCCGGUAAACGGCGGCCGUAACUAUAACGGUCCUAAGGUAGCGAAAUUCCUUGUCGGGUAAGUUCCGACCUGCACGAAUGGCGUAAUGAUGGCCAGGCUGUCUCCACCCGAGACUCAGUGAAAUUGAACUCGCUGUGAAGAUGCAGUGUACCCGCGGCAAGACGGAAAGACCCCGUGAACCUUUACUAUAGCUUGACACUGAACAUUGAGCCUUGAUGUGUAGGAUAGGUGGGAGGCUUUGAAGUGUGGACGCCAGUCUGCAUGGAGCCGACCUUGAAAUACCACCCUUUAAUGUUUGAUGUUCUAACGUUGACCCGUAAUCCGGGUUGCGGACAGUGUCUGGUGGGUAGUUUGACUGGGGCGGUCUCCUCCUAAAGAGUAACGGAGGAGCACGAAGGUUGGCUAAUCCUGGUCGGACAUCAGGAGGUUAGUGCAAUGGCAUAAGCCAGCUUGACUGCGAGCGUGACGGCGCGAGCAGGUGCGAAAGCAGGUCAUAGUGAUCCGGUGGUUCUGAAUGGAAGGGCCAUCGCUCAACGGAUAAAAGGUACUCCGGGGAUAACAGGCUGAUACCGCCCAAGAGUUCAUAUCGACGGCGGUGUUUGGCACCUCGAUGUCGGCUCAUCACAUCCUGGGGCUGAAGUAGGUCCCAAGGGUAUGGCUGUUCGCCAUUUAAAGUGGUACGCGAGCUGGGUUUAGAACGUCGUGAGACAGUUCGGUCCCUAUCUGCCGUGGGCGCUGGAGAACUGAGGGGGGCUGCUCCUAGUACGAGAGGACCGGAGUGGACGCAUCACUGGUGUUCGGGUUGUCAUGCCAAUGGCACUGCCCGGUAGCUAAAUGCGGAAGAGAUAAGUGCUGAAAGCAUCUAAGCACGAAACUUGCCCCGAGAUGAGUUCUCCCUGACUCCUUGAGAGUCCUGAAGGAACGUUGAAGACGACGACGUUGAUAGGCCGGGUGUGUAAGCGCAGCGAUGCGUUGAGCUAACCGGUACUAAUGAACCGUGAGGCUUAACCUUACAACGCCGAAG